AUUGAACGCUGGCGGCAUGCCUUACACAUGCAAGUCGAACGGCAGCACGGGUGCCUGCACCUGGUGGCGAGUGGCGAACGGGUGAGUAAUACAUCGGAACAUGUCCUGCAGUGGGGGAGAGCCCGGCGAAAGCCGGAUUAAUACCGCAUACGAACUACGGGUGAAAGCGGGGGACCUUCGGCACGCGCGCUUUCGGGUUGGCCGAUGGCUGAUUAGCUAGUUGGUGGGGUAAAGGCCUACCAAGGCGACGAUCAGUAGCUGGUCUGAGAGGACGACCAGCCACACUGGGACUGAGACACGGCCCAGACUCCUACGGGAGGCAGCAGUGGGGAAUUUUGGACAAUGGGCGAAAGCCUGAUCCAGCAAUGCCGCGUGUGUGAAGAAGGCCUUCGGGUUGUAAAGCACUUUUGUCCGGAAAGAAAUCCUUGGGCCUAAUACGGUCGGGGGAUGACGGUACCGGAAGAAUAAGCACCGGCUAACUACGUG
This 486-nucleotide ribosomal RNA is filed under the name uncultured bacterium. RNAcentral describes it as "partial 16S ribosomal RNA". It matches the Rfam family "Bacterial small subunit ribosomal RNA", at positions 29 to 507 of the family's 1533-position model. The record is from RNAcentral.